AUGAAGCCGGAAUUGCUAGUAAUGGCAGGUCAGCAUACUGCCGUGAAUACGUUCCCGGGCCUUGUACACACCGCCCGUCACACCAUGAGAGUUGGGAAUACCCGAAGCCUGUGAGCUAACAUUUAUGAGGCAGCAGUCGAAGGUAGAAUCAAUGAUUGGGGUGAAGUCGUAACAAGGUACC
RNAcentral lists this ribosomal RNA (181 nucleotides) under uncultured bacterium. RNAcentral's name for it is "partial 16S ribosomal RNA". It matches the Rfam family "Bacterial small subunit ribosomal RNA", at positions 1320 to 1500 of the family's 1533-position model. The record is from RNAcentral.